AAACCGAUGUCUUAAUCCAGUCCUGGGAGAGAUGGGCAGAAUUGCAAAUGAAAGCAUAGCGAUUUUUUCGACUACUCCGAUAAGCUUUUGCUUCUGGAAUAAAUCCGAUUGGGAUUUUUAACGAACAAAUUAACCCUUCGAGCCUGAUUCCUGUACAACGAAGACGGUAGUUACCUGUAAUUCUAUGUUUAUAAAUCGAUCUUCGUCGUUCGAAAACGGGGUAGUAGAUGAUAACCCUCGAGGUUUGGAAUAAAAAACCAAGAUAUGUAUAUUAAAUUAACUGGUCCGGUACUUCUGUACAAUGUUCGUUCUUGGCGUAAAUAACGAAAUUGCUACAACAAAACUUCUUUGAAAAUCAUAAAAAUUGGAAUAAAUUGCGUAAUAUCACUCGAGGGUUUGCGAAGCCGUCUAUCUUUAGUUUUUUUAAUUAAAAAUCUGUGUCCAGGUAGGAGUUUGGCCCAUCUCUGGUCUCCAGGCCCCUCCCACUUCCGGUUACGUUUCUUUCUCGCUAACACGGCGAUCGUGCUACGUUUCUUUUCGCGUUGAUUUCUCCUUGGUAUCGCUGUGUUGCCCGUUGGAGUACGUAACGCGAGGACGUUGAAUUUCUCUCUUCGCAUUCUGUAAGUUCGCUUCCAAGACUCCGACGGUCGCGACCAGUCCGAGGGUGGAAAAUCGGUGCAAUUUGCGGGAAUAUUUUUGCAAGUGUCGUCCGCUCGACGAGCCGAGGAACCGUAGGUUAAGUCGACGUUAAAUAUACGCUGAAAUUAAUCUGAAUUUAAAUCGGUAGUUCGCGUUGGCAGUCACGGGCACGCGCACCCUGAUCGCAACUGGUCGCGAACGGAUCUCCCCUUUCUUUUAUUUCGUAGUUUUCGCGCGGAAGAGAAAUGUUUACCGUGUCACGUCGACCAGAUCCUGCAUCGUUCGGACUCCUGUUGUAGAUAAUAAAACGAAUUAUUUGUAUUAUGACUAUUAAUUACAUUAAUCGCAAUGUCGAUACUAUAUUAUUAUUAUAUUAUUAUUAUAUGAUUAUUAUCAUUGUUAUUGCUUUUCAUAUUAUAAUUUAGAGAUCUCUCACCGUAACUAUUGUAUAUUCGCGAAGACUGAAAGGCUGUAAAGUGUAACUAUAAUGUCGCGCGGGGCGUGCCACACUCGCGCACGUGAAAUAAAUGCAGAACUGUGUCCAUACGAUUA
Molecule: long non-coding RNA, 1191 nt
Organism: Hylaeus anthracinus
Lineage: Eukaryota; Metazoa; Arthropoda; Insecta; Hymenoptera; Colletidae
Exons: 2
Source: RefSeq, a predicted model, not a curated record